GCGCCCGAGGGUCUGGACGCCGCCACCUACCGCGUGGUGCAGGUGCCCACAUUUAACAUGAUCGUCGCGUUUCGGGCGCU
Molecule: transfer RNA, 80 nt
Filed under: Amantichitinum ursilacus
Lineage: Bacteria; Pseudomonadati; Pseudomonadota; Betaproteobacteria; Neisseriales; Chitinibacteraceae
Description: tRNA-Gly
Source: RNAcentral